Cavia porcellus (domestic guinea pig) is the source of this 2312-nucleotide long non-coding RNA. RefSeq lists it as uncharacterized. The record is from RefSeq and is a predicted model, not a curated record. NCBI's taxonomy places the organism in Eukaryota, Metazoa, Chordata, Mammalia, Rodentia, Caviidae. The transcript has 2 exons.
CUUCCCUCUUCCUCAUUUUAUUUGUAAGUGAAUAUUACUGAGCAGGGUAUUGCUUAUGUAUGUUGCCUUACAUUUCCUAUAAAAGAAAUCACUCUCUAUUGAAAGAAAGACGCUGAAGCAUUCCGCCUGUGUGACGCAUAGCCUGAGCCACUGGCAAGCCACUUCCUCGUGCAUCAGUUUCCUCAUGUUAGGAAGAGAGAAAGGAAUGCAGUCACCGACCUCAGAGGACCAGGAGGCUGAAACAGGCACCAAGCUUCUGCAGGCCCUGGAGGUGCCCGCUGCAGAGCACAGGAGGCACAGACUCUCAGAAAGAGCCCCUCAGUCACUGAACAGCCACAGAUGCAGACUGAAUUCAGCAUGUAAGCACCAGCGCUUACCGAGGUUAAACUUGUCAGCUGCAUCUUGGGUGUCUGCUGCUCAAAUGCAGGCAAUGUGGGCAGGGCUUGCAAGCGUAAGUCUUCCAUCAUGGUCGUCUGGUCGGCUGGUGACAGUGCCCAUCAGGCAACCACCUCAAGCACAUCUCGGCAAGCGUCUCCAAGACAGAAUACUGGCGUGGUCUCGUUGACUGCUCUUCCCAGGAGGAGAACUGAAAGCACUGGCAGUAAGUGAUGCCCUCUCCUGCUUGCAGACCCUGGAAAUCCUCACUCCUCACAGCAAGCCCAAAGGACAAAUAGUAAACCCUGAAAAUAGGAACCCUGAAAAUGCCAAGCACAUACAAACCUAAUUGCUCUAGUUCAGAUGGAUUUUUGCUUCAGAGGCCACACUGUUUUCUUUCAUGUAUCUGUGCACCCACUUAUUAAUUUAUAAUUGGAUGCAUAUUGAGCACCACCCUGUGCCAAAUACCAUGCAUGGAACCUAGGCGUGUGACACUCAACCGUCCUGUUCUUCGGAAUAGGGAAGAAGAGAAAUGCACCAUGCACUGAGCACUGGCUGUCAACCCAGCUCCACCCAGUGGAUUCACCAUAGCCCUCACACGUGGAGAGGCAGAGCUGAGCUUCAUCUGUGUGGAGAUAAGAAACUGAAAGCUCAGACAGUUUGAGUAACUGGCCCCGCAGCACACAGUAGAAGGUGGUGGUGGUGAGAUUUCAGAAUCUCACACUCUGCACUCAGAGAUCUUUCCAUUCUCAAAUCACAAGAGCUUGGGAUGUUAGGACCGUGUGACAAAUUACUAUAAUGCACACUGUAGGUAAAAGUGGGAUAACAAUCAAGUAGACAAAGCAUGAUAGAGAAAGGAGAUAUGGCCUCUGAAGGAAGGGCCACAGACAUGUCUCAUACAGGGGCCCCAGCACAGGGCACCUGCUCAGAAAUGACAGUCCUAAAAGAAACCACCGAGGGACAGGGUGCAGGGCUGAGAAUCAGGGAAAGGGGUGACAACAGAGAUGGAGCACAGAAUUGGGCUGUGGACUCCUCACACCACACAGAGCUGUGGAAGAUGGGAAAAUGGUCAGCUUUUCUCCACAAGAAGGGGUGUCAAUUCAGGCAAAGCCCAAGUCUCCUUGCUCACCAUAGCCAAGUCCUAGCGAAACAUGUGUGAUCGAAGGACGGGUUUGAGGCCUAACUCUUGUAUUCAUUAGCCGAACAACUGUUGAGGUACUCGGAUGUGUACGUUGCUCUAAAGGAUAAAUUGCCACAAGGGCUGGUCCAAGUAAGCAUCGCGGGCCAAUCACACAGCAGCACAAUUAGUGGGUACAUUUAAGCAAUGUCCGUCGUGUAUUUAUUUACUGCAUGUAUUCCAGAAACUGUGCACAUAAAUCCAGGCCCAGAAAAAUGUGCAAAGAUUCUCUCAUGUCAACCUCACAACUCUGAAAGGUAAGGACCAUUUCAAAACUCUACAGAUAUAUAAAUCAUGAUCACAAGAAUUUGGCUAGCUAAGUCCACAGUCUUAUCUCUAGAAGUAGAAAAACCCACUUGCUCUUCAAUUUGGUGUUUGUUUCAUUACAUGCAUUAGCCACUUACACUGGUGGUUCUCAAUCUGUAGGCUGUAGAGCCUUCAGAAUAGUCCAGCUAAAUGUUUAGCAACUUGCAAACUUCAUUUGCUUACACUAUAUACUGUCAGGAGAAUGCUGAAAUCUAGGCAUUGUGUAGGGUACAGCUUGCUGGAAAUCUUUUAUCACUUGGAUUCAUCAGGAAUAUUUUGUAAGAUGGAGUUGUUAUGAGGACAAAACAAGAGGAUAUAAUAUAUUUUGAUAAUAUCAAGUAUGGCUCUAAAAGAAUUCUCUUUUCAUAGGAAAAGUUUAGAAAAUAUCUUAAGUAAUAGUUUUUGCAUACUUAUUCUCCAAUUCUGUCAUUGUGAUAUAAAAUCCUUGACUGAG